AACGCGAAGAACCUUACCAGGCCUUGACAUCCCUUGCAAAGUCUUAGAGAUAAGAUAGAGGUUAUCAAGGUGACAGGUGGUGCAUGGUUGUCGUCGGCUCGUGUCGUGAGAUGUUGGGUUAAGUCCGCUAACGAGCGCAACCCUUGUCCUUAGUUGCUAACAUUAAGUUGAGAACCCUAAGGAGACUGCCGGUGACAAACCGGAGGAAGGUGGGGAUGACGUCAAAUCAUCAUGCCCCUUACGUCUAGGGCUACAGGCGUGCUAUAAUGGCCGAUACAAUGAGACGCAAUACCGUGAGGUGGAGCAAAUCUAUAAAGUCGGUCUCAGUUCGGAUUGAAGUCUGCAACUCGACUUCAUGAAGCUAGAAUCGCUAGUAAUCCCAAAUCAGAAUGUUGGGGUGAAUACGUUCCCGGGUCUUGUACACACGC
RNAcentral lists this ribosomal RNA (428 nucleotides) under uncultured Holdemania sp. Its description in RNAcentral is "bacterial SSU rRNA". It matches the Rfam family "Bacterial small subunit ribosomal RNA", at positions 958 to 1393 of the family's 1533-position model. The record is from RNAcentral. Lineage: Bacteria; Bacillati; Bacillota; Erysipelotrichia; Erysipelotrichales; Erysipelotrichaceae.